Long non-coding RNA from Acinonyx jubatus (cheetah), 3252 nucleotides. RefSeq lists it as uncharacterized. The transcript is spliced from 5 exons. The record is from RefSeq and is a predicted model, not a curated record. Lineage: Eukaryota; Metazoa; Chordata; Mammalia; Carnivora; Felidae.
GAACGCUUGUUAUUCCUUAGCAGUCUGUUAAGACGUUUAAAAAGCCUUGCCAAGGGAAAAGCAGCAUACGAAUGUGUGGCACACCAAAAAUCGUGAGAAGCCUAUGCUAUGCUUGACAGGAAGUGUUUCCAGCCCGGUUUCGACGCCCCUGUUGCUUUAUUCUUGGUUUCUCGAAGUGUCACAGCCGACAGGAAAUCUUCAAGCGGCAAGACCUUGUUAAGAACAUUAUCAACUUUUUUAAGUCAUGGUGUAACAAUAAUGUUUUGAAAUGACACCCUUUUAAAAAAAGUAUUAAGUCUUUACUUCAGCUCUUACAUUAAUCUUUUGUACAUUUGAAAGGAGUACCGUGUUCAUAAUAUUAGUACAGGAUCAAAUGGAAACUCCGUUUCAGAGACAGGUAUUGUAAAGUAUGGAUAUUCAUUGCAUGCGCUUCCCCCAGAUGGCUCUUUUACUUUAUUCUCUUUGAAUCUGUCUGUGAAUAUUCUAUUUGAAUGUAUUGCCUGGGGAGAGGGGAUGUCAAGGAGAGAGUUAAUAUUAUUUGCCCAAAAUGGGUCUUUGUUUGUUUAUUUGGUUUUAGGAUGAGAAAGAACUCAAGUGUGUUUAAUUGAAGGAUACUGCAUUUGGACAUUUAAAUUCGUAUUUUGUCCGAUUUUAACAUAUUCCUCACUCUGGCAUACACAGUAAUGAAUGUCAUGAGGCCUUGAUUGCCUUCUUUCCAAAAUAAUAAUUGUAAAUUAUGUUAUACUAUUUAUUUAGCAUCUCUUUAUCCACUUAGCGAAUUAUCUGCAUGUUGUAUGCCUUUUGUCAUUUCACUGCUCAUUAAUAUGUUUAUCACGGAGGAGGUGGGACAACACAAAGUUAUAAAACAAAACUCGCUAACUUUUCUUUGUUGAUAGCAUUGGCAAGAGAUUUAGAAAAGGCUGUAUCUGGCAUUUGACCACCGUCUUGUCCACACAAAUGGAAGCAAGAGCUUGUUUGAAAAUGGGAGCAAUGCCCAGGAAGGAGGAGCAGAAAGAAGGAAAGCAGAAUGAAAAGGGCCAGUAUAAAGCAGCUAAUGCAUCUGACUGUAAUCAGAAGAAUAUUUCAGUUUCACUCCUGGUUAGAAUAUUUACAACAGGUACUUUUCCCUUUAGAUACAACUCACAGGUGUGAGGACUGGCUGAUGAGGAGAAAAAAUUCCUGCAACACUACCAGAUAUAUAUAGAAGACUUAUUUCAUACAUUGGCAGCUCUCCCUGGGCCUCCUAUUUUUGCCAGGGUGAUGACUGAUGAGCACUCAGGACGGACUCAACUGGGUUCAACUUUAGAACAGCACUGUUGUGGCCUGUGUUGCUGUAUUCCCAGAAGUCUUGAUUUUCUGGUUCUGGCUUCCAAUCACUGGAUCACACCUCAGGUCAGUGUCCCUAAUCUCAGCAGUUAACAUUAAUAUCCUCGUCUGUCCCCAGUUUCUUACCUGUGGCUUCACCAUAGCUUUUGUGUGUAAAUUCAGCUACGUAGUUGUAGGAAUCACCUGGGUUCAGAUUAGAACUCCUCUAGUCUUGCCUGUAAUUUGGUAAGCUUCUAAUUCUUAUGUUAAAUGCUUUUCUGCUUAAAAUACUUACAAAGACUUUUAUUUCUGACACUGAAGUUGACUGAUAUGGCCAUAAACUUGUUUUUGCAGGUAAGGUUGGCUAUGUGACUCAAUAGUUGCCACAAUUAUUGGAGUUUUGUUAAAUGUCUUCUGGUAAAGAUUGUUUUCUGGUUAAAGAUAUAAGGCUAUGAAAUGAAGUAGUUGGACUGUUCCCUCUUUCUCCUUCAUUUCCCCCCUUUAAACUUAAUAUUGGAGCAGCUAUCUUGGAACCAUGUGAUUACUAGAUGGAUGAGGACUAAGGCUACUAUGUUAGAGAUAGUGGAGAAGGAUGGGAAUAACCUGGGUCUUUGAUGAUCUCAUUAGUCUGCUGAAGAAGAUCUGGAAUGCUUACUGAAUUUGUGCAUUUCUAGGCUACUUGUUACACACUAAAGAAAUAAUUUCUCAUGGGUAAGAUACUAUUAUUUACUGACCUCCUCAGGCAUUGAUUAAAAGUAAAGGAAUACUGAACUUCUCUAAUGGAGCAGAUGUUGUCAGCGAGGCAUGUUCCUCAGACUUUAUUGUUCCAGUGUAGGCUAGCCAACCCCACAUGGCCAGAAUUAGUAUCUCUGUGCUUGAGAACUUUUCUUGGACAUUCAGAAGGCCUGUUUCCCACUCCUACAGCAAGGGGAAUGUGCCAAGGAAUUAAUGUCCCUCAGAUAUCCCCCAACCAGUGACUCUCAGAAAUUGCAGUAUAAAUAUACUGGUCCCUUGGGCAAGAAAAUUCUGAGGCAUGUGUUUUGUUUUGUUUUACUGUUUACUCAUUUUUUGAGAGAGAGAGAAAGCCUGAGCAGUGGAGGGGCAGAGAGAGGGUGGCAGAGGAUCCAAAGCAGGCUCUGCAAUGAUCAUAGCGAGCCUGAUGCAGGGCUCGAACUCAUGAACCGUGAUAUCAUGAACUGAGCUGAAGUCGGACACUCCACUGACUGAGCCACCUAGGCACCUGAGGCAUGUGUUUUUACACAGUUCCCAGACUUUCACAGCACACUAUGUUAGUUUAAUAACUUGUCCUUGGGUCACUUGGGUGGCUCUGUCACUUAAGUAUUCAGUUCUGGAUUUCACCUCAGGUCAUGAUCUCAUGGUUCAUGAGUUGGAUCCCUACAUGGGGCUCUGUGCUGACCACAUGGAGUCUACUUGGGAUUCUUUCUGUCCCUCUCUGUGCCUCUCCCUGCCUCUUGUAAAGGAAAGGAAGGGAAAGGGAAGGAAAGGAGAGAAGGAAGUUCAAGAGAAUAGGGACACCUGGGUGGCUCAGUCAUUUUUAGGCAUCUGACUCUUGAUUUCGGCUCAGGUCAUGAUCUCACAGUCCGUGGGAUUGAGCCCUGCAUCUGGCUCUGUGCUAACAGUGCAGAGCGUGCUUGGGAUUCUUUCUCUCUAUCCUGUGAUUCUCUCUCUAUCCCUCUCUCUCUACCCCUCCCUUGGUUGCACUCUCUCUUUAAAAAAAGAAAUAAAUUACUGAACCUUUAUUGCUUGUCUUACAUAUCCCCUAGGUAUAGGUUGUACCUCCUAAAUCAAAUAACUGCACUUGAUUUCUUGUCUCUUCUGUGCUUCUGAGAGAAUCAAAGCUAAGAUACCUAAGCUAAACUCAAAUUAGAUAUAUUAGACCGCAAGCAAAUAGGAGGCCCUGAUGCUUCAUUCAGUGGUCAGUGCACA